GGAGGGUGCAAGCGUUAAUCGGAAUUACUGGGCGUAAAGCGCGCGUAGGUGGUUUGAUAAGCGAGAUGUGAAAGCCCCGGGCUCAACCUGGGAACGGCAUUUCGAACUGUCAGGCUAGAGUAUGGUAGAGGAGUGUGGAAUUUCCUGUGUAGCGGUGAAAUGCGUAGAUAUAGGAAGGAACACCAGUGGCGAAGGCGGCACUCUGGACCAAUACUGACACUGAGGUGCGAAAGCGUGGGGGAGCAAACAGGAUUAGAUACCCUGGUAGUCCACGCUGUAAACGAUGUCAACUAGCCGUUGGGACUCUUGAAGUCUUAGUGGCGCAGCUAACGCACUAAGUUGACCCGCCUGGGGAGUACGGCCGCAGGUUA
RNAcentral lists this ribosomal RNA (371 nucleotides) under uncultured organism. RNAcentral describes it as "partial 16S ribosomal RNA". It matches the Rfam family "Bacterial small subunit ribosomal RNA", at positions 527 to 896 of the family's 1533-position model. The record is from RNAcentral.